RNAcentral lists this ribosomal RNA (409 nucleotides) under uncultured bacterium. RNAcentral describes it as "bacterial SSU rRNA". It matches the Rfam family "Bacterial small subunit ribosomal RNA", at positions 352 to 779 of the family's 1533-position model. The record is from RNAcentral.
CAGUGGGGAAUAUUGCACAAUGGGGGAAACCCUGAUGCAGCAACGCCGCGUGAGUGAUGACGGCCUUCGGGUUGUAAAACUCUGUCUUUGGGGACGAUAAUGACGGUACCCAAGGAGGAAGCCACGGCUAACUACGUGCAGCAGCCGCGGUAAUACGUAGGUGGCAAGCGUUGUCCGGAUUUACUGGGCGUAAAGGGAGCGUAGGUGGAUAUUUAAGUGGGAUGUGAAAUACUCGGGCUUAACCUGGGUGCUGCAUUCCAAACUGGAUAUCUAGAGUGCAGGAGAGGAAAGGAGAACUCCUAGUGUAGCGGUGAAAUGCGUAGAGAUUAGGAAGAAUACCAGUGGCGAAGGCGCCUUUCUGGACUGUAACUGACACUGAGGCUCGAAAGCGUGGGGAGCAAACAGGAUU